CCUCCAUCCUUUUUGCCUCCUCUAUCCCCAUUCCCACUGCCCCAGCUCAGGCCCCACAACUCUUCCUGCCUUGGCUGCCACUCCCAGGCCCCCCUGCAAUCCAUUCUCUAUGCACGGCCAAAGAAAUUGAGCUAACAACAAAACUCUACCUCAGAAGGAACUCUAACUUCUCAGCCUGACAUGGAAGGCCCUCCAGGAUAUGGGUGCUGCCAACCCCUCUGCCACUCCAACCUCAUUUCUCAAGCCUGCUGGCUCCAGCCAUUCUUUCUCUCACCUCCAGCCCUUCAUCUGCUGUUUCUUAUGCCUGGAAAAUGCUUUCUCUUCCUCAGCUCCCCUUUACCCAGAUAAUAUCUCUUCACCUUUCAAGUCUCAGCUUCACGGUCACCUCCUCUAGGAAGCCUCUCUUGAUCCCCCUUAGGCUGGGCUAGGCCUCCUUCUGUCUUCCCUAGGUCUCUCUCCUAGGACACUAGGAGUUUGUCAGAUGAGAGGGAAAGUGCUCAGGUGGUCAGAAGUAACAUUAUGGGGAGGGAGAGAGUCCUCUGUGGGAGCUGCUCUUAGAGGUGGCUCUGAGCAGAUGCCCCGCCCCCAACACGGCUGUGUGGGCUUUGCCAGGGGAGAGGAGCUGCCAGAGCAACAGCGCCUUCCUCCUGACCUCUGCCUCUGCACGUUCCCGUGACUCGCUGAUGGAAAACAUCCACCCCUUCUGGGCCUCUUCCUUAUUUCAUCACUUUAAUAAAUUAAGAACAGAUUGAAAAGCAGGAAACAUUGUCUCCCAGGCCCCAGCACCCACAUUCCAACUCAAUUACAGGAUUUGUUUUUCGGGUCUGACCAGAGGCAGCUGGGAUGCGGCAGAAAGAGUGAGAGAAAGAGUUUAAACCAAGAGGCCAGAGAAGGCAAAUUCAGAUUCCAGCUCAGUCGCUGACCAGGGGCCUCAGGCAAAACCAGUCACCUCUUUGAGCCUCCUCAUCCUCGUCUGGAAAAUGGAAUGUCCUCUCCUCCAUAUCCACCUGUGAGAUCCUAUGCAUCACCUCCAGAGAGGCUCUAACAUUGCUUGAGAUUUCGCUCACCCUUCAACAAAGUGCUGCAAGCUGGUUUCUACGUUCCAGGCACUGCACAAGAUCCAAACUCACAGUAGGCUCUGAGAGAGCUGAAAUGUCAGAGUCAGCCUGGAUAGAGACAAACAAAAGCUGAAAGAAUUCAUCACCAGAAGUCAUCACUAUGAGAAAUAUUACGGGAAGUCCUGCAGCCAGAAGGAAAAUGAAACCAGAUGGAAAUAUGGAUCCUCACAAUGGAAUGAGAAAUACCAGAAAUGGCAACUACAUGGAACUGUCUUCUUUUAGCAGGAUUAUUUCCUUGGAGCAGACUCCCAGAAACAGAAAUACCAGCCCAGUGCAGUAGGUGUGGCAGAAAGUAUUCUCACCCCGUGAUGGACGAGAAAACUGACAGCCUCGAGGUCACACAGGCAGGCAGGGGUCGAACUGGGCUCUGGAUUCCCCCUGCCAGUGAGCCCCAUGACCCUCCUGUCACACCACUUCAGGGGCCACCCACAGUGGGGACUGACCUGUGGGAGGCAUGGCAGGGGAGACAGUUAUGGUUCUACAAACAACUGCACAGUGAGUCCACAAGAACACAGAAAGAAUAAAGGCCUGCAUGAGUCUCCAGGAGGUUUUCCCAGAAGCAGUGGCAUCUGAGUUGAAGGAGGAGUGAGACUUGGCCAAAUAGAAAAGGCAGGGGAGAAAGUUCCACGAAGGAGCGAUACGCAGGCCAGGGCCAGGAAGAGUCAAAGGACAAGUCAGGAAUUGCUGAAUGACUUGCAUUUGUGGCAAACUGAGUAAGAAUUUUUAUCUGAGAACAAAGAGCUUUCUGCUUGUGUAUCUCACCUCCUCCUCACAGCAGCCCGAGAAGCAGCUGAUCCAGGAGGCCCUUGGCUGAGGGAGGGGAAGCACUUUGGCCUCAGAGACCGGGGGUCUGCUUCCCAGAGGUCAUGCGACUUACCACCUCUCUGAACCUGGGUUUCCCCUUCUCUGCAAAGAG
Molecule: long non-coding RNA, 2034 nt
Organism: Equus caballus (horse)
Lineage: Eukaryota; Metazoa; Chordata; Mammalia; Perissodactyla; Equidae
Source: Ensembl